Molecule: non-coding RNA, 1068 nt
Organism: Globicephala melas (long-finned pilot whale)
Lineage: Eukaryota; Metazoa; Chordata; Mammalia; Artiodactyla; Delphinidae
Source: RefSeq, a predicted model, not a curated record
GCUACCCGUGACGCCCGCGCGCUGAGGGAGGAUCCGGCGGGGCGGCGCAGAGAGCGCGAGCGGCCCAGAGGACGCCCGACCCCCUCGCCUCGCGAGGCCUGCGCGGGAGAACCGCUGAGCCCUCCCGGGUCUGCAGGUGGCCCAGCCGGCUCCUGCCAGGCUUCGUCAGGUGGGGCGGGGGACCGCAGGGACUCAUGCAAGUUUAGGACUGGAGACACCCGAGCCGUUGGUUGUGCCCCGGAGCGUCCUCAAAAUCGAGCGUUUCUGAAGCCUAGGAACAGACGCUUUCUGUGUUGUUCUGAAACACGCCGGUAAGGAGGAGAAUCCUCGGUAUGGAAGAGCUCAGGAGAGGCCACAGUUGAACUCAGGCACCAGGAGAGAGAGGCUUUGAAUCUGCCUAAAAGCCAUUCGAUUUUUGAUGGCAAUGUGCAGAAUUGCCACUUAUGAGUAGAGUUCAGGCAAGCCUGAAGUAUGUUGCUGCUCAGAAAUGCUGUGUCUGGGAAAGAGACUUAAUUCACUCAGCCUGCAGCAGUAUGGUUAUUGUUGGUGGAAGAGUCUGGAAAACCCUCCUCCUGUGGGCCUCGGUUCUUGGAUAUAAUUCAGGAAGCAGUGGGAAAUUAGAUCGGAGAAGAAAGUUUAGGCCACGGGAUGAGGAGGAAGAAAGUGAAGUUUUCCUGGCGGUUCCACCAACAUAAUAUCUGCAUUGGUUUCGUCGUGGAUCCCAGCCUCUUGCCAGGUGUGGUACCCACAGAGGUUCUUCGUGCCUUCCUGCUAGUGGCUUGUAAGUCUGUGCCAACAUGGCUUCUCACUGUUGUGGCCUCUCCCGUUGAGGAGCACAGGCUCACGGGCCCAGCCGCUCCGCGGCAUGUGGGAUGUUCCCGGACCGGGGCACGAACCCAUGUCCCCUGCAUCGGCAGGCGGACUCUCAACCACUGCGCCACCAGGGAAGCCCUUGAGAACUUAAUAUGUUAUUUUCUGCCAACAUUCUACCCCUGCCAAGAUACUAUCCCUCACUUCCCAUAGAAAGCAAUGUGAUACAGAGAUUACAAGAAAAGGCCUUGAACUAAG